This 795-nucleotide ribosomal RNA is filed under the name uncultured fungus. RNAcentral describes it as "eukaryotic LSU rRNA". The stretch from base 1 to 241 matches the Rfam family "Eukaryotic small subunit ribosomal RNA", at positions 1593 to 1831 of the family's 1831-position model. The record is from RNAcentral. Lineage: Eukaryota; Fungi.
UUGCUCUUCAACGAGGAAUGCCUAGUAAGCGCGUGUCAUCAGCAUGCGUUGAUUACGUCCCUGCCCUUUGUACACACCGCCCGUCGCUACUACCGAUUGAAUGGCUCAGUGAGGCCUUCGGACUGGCUUAGGGAGGUUGGCAACGACCACCUUGAGCCGGAAAGUUCGUCAAACUCGGUCAUUUAGAGGAAGUAAAAGUCGUAACAAGGUUUCCGUAGGUGAACCUGCGGAAGGAUCAUUACACUCAGUAGUUUACUACUGUAAAGGAGGUUGUUAGUCUGUAUAGCGCAAGCUGAUGAGCAGCGGGCCUCUUUUAUCUACCCUUGUCUUUUGCGUACCCACGUUUCCUCGGCAGGCUUGCCUGCCGAUUGGACAAACCUAUAACCUUUUUAAUUUUCAAUCAGCGUCUGAAAAACUUAAUAAUUACAACUUUCAACAACGGAUCUCUUGGUUCUGGCAUCGAUGAAGAACGCAGCGAAAUGCGAUAAGUAGUGUGAAUUGCAGAAUUCAGUGAAUCAUCGAAUCUUUGAACGCACAUUGCGCCCCUUGGUAUUCCAUGGGGCAUGCCUGUUCGAGCGUCAUUUGUACCCUCAAGCUCUGCUUGGUGUUGGGUGUUUGUCCUCUCCCUCGUGUUUGGACUCGCCUUAAAAUAAUUGGCAGCCAGUGUUUUGGUAUUGAAGCGCAGCACAAGUCGCGAUUCGUACCCAACGCUUGCGUCCACAAGCCUUUUUUAACUUUUGACCUCGGAUCAGGUAGGGAUACCCGCUGAACUUAAGCAUAUCAAUAAGCGGAGGA